UCGAGAAUAAUUCACAAUGGGGGAAACCCUGAUGGUGCAACGCCGCGUGGAGGAUGAAGGUCUUCGGAUUGUAAACUCCUGUCAUCGGGGAGUAAGACCUGACGGUAAAUAGCCGGCAGGGUUGAUAGUACCCGAAGAGGAAGGGACGGCUAACUUCGUGCCAGCAGCCGCGGUAAUACGAAGGUCCCAAGCGUUGUUCGGAAUCACUGGGCGUAAAGGGAGCGUAGGCGGCGCGGUAAGUCAGAUGUGAAAUCCCGGGGCUCAACCCCGGAACUGCAUCCGAUACUGCCGUGCUUGAGGGUUGGAGAGGUAGCUGGAAUUCUCGGUGUAGCAGUGAAAUGCGUGGAUAUCGAGAGGAACACUCGUGGCGAAGGCGAGCUACUGGACAACAUCUGACGCUGAGGCUCGAAGGCUAGGGGAGCAAAAG
Molecule: ribosomal RNA, 427 nt
Filed under: uncultured Luteolibacter sp.
Lineage: Bacteria; Pseudomonadati; Verrucomicrobiota; Verrucomicrobiia; Verrucomicrobiales; Verrucomicrobiaceae
Description: bacterial SSU rRNA
Rfam family: Bacterial small subunit ribosomal RNA
Source: RNAcentral